UACGUAGGGUCCGAGCGUUGUCCGGAAUUACUGGGCGUAAAGCGCGCGCAGGCGGCCCGCGAGGUGUCACGUGAAAGCCCCGGGCUCAACCCGGGAGGGUCGUGGCAAACCGGCGGGCUUGAGGCCGGUAGAGGUGGGUGGAACUCCUGGUGGAGUGGUGAAAUGCGUAGAUAUGACAUAGAACAUCGAUUGCGAAGGCAGCUCGCUACACUAUGAUUGACACUGAGGCACGAAAGCGUGGGGAUCAAACAGG
RNAcentral lists this ribosomal RNA (253 nucleotides) under uncultured bacterium. RNAcentral's name for it is "partial 16S ribosomal RNA". It matches the Rfam family "Bacterial small subunit ribosomal RNA", at positions 524 to 776 of the family's 1533-position model. The record is from RNAcentral.